This 459-nucleotide ribosomal RNA is filed under the name uncultured bacterium. RNAcentral describes it as "partial 16S ribosomal RNA". It matches the Rfam family "Bacterial small subunit ribosomal RNA", at positions 338 to 795 of the family's 1533-position model. The record is from RNAcentral.
CCUACGGGUGGCAGCAGUGAGGAAUAUUGGUCAAUGGGCGAGAGCCUGAACCAGCCAAGUCGCGUGAAGGAUGAAGGAUCUAUGGUUUGUAAACUUCUUUUAUAUGGGAAUAAAGUGAGGAACGUGUUCCUUUUUGUAUGUACCAUAUGAAUAAGCAUCGGCUAACUCCGUGCCAGCAGCCGCGGUAAUACGGAGGAUGCGAGCGUUAUCCGGAUUUAUUGGGUUUAAAGGGUGCGUAGGCGGAAGGUUAAGUCAGCGGUCAAAUGUCGGUGCUCAACACCGGCCUGCCGUUGAAACUGGUCUUCUUGAGUGAGCGAGAAGUAUGCGGAAUGCGUGGUGUAGCGGUGAAAUGCAUAGAUAUCACGCAGAACUCCGAUUGCGAAGGCAGCAUACCGGCGCUCAACUGACGCUGAGGCACGAAAGCGUGGGGAUCGAACAGGAUUAGAUACCCCAGUAGUC